This 515-nucleotide ribosomal RNA is filed under the name fungal sp. MMTL3177. Its description in RNAcentral is "eukaryotic LSU rRNA". The stretch from base 140 to 293 matches the Rfam family "5.8S ribosomal RNA". The record is from RNAcentral. Lineage: Eukaryota; Fungi.
GUAUUAGGCGGGAGGGCUUCGGCUCGACUCUCCCACCCUUUGUGAACGUACCUCUGUUGCUUUGGCGGCUUCGGCCGAAAAGGACCUUCAAACUCCAGUCAGUAAACGCAGACGUCUGAUAAACAAGUUAAUAAACUAAAACUUUCAACAACGGAUCUCUUGGUUCUGGCAUCGAUGAAGAACGCAGCGAAAUGCGAUAAGUAAUGUGAAUUGCAGAAUUCAGUGAAUCAUCGAAUCUUUGAACGCACAUUGCGCCCCUUGGUAUUCCGGGGGGCAUGCCUGUUCGAGCGUCAUUACAACCCUCAAGCUCUGCUUGGAAUUGGGCACCGUCCUCACUGCGGACGCGCCUCAAAGACCUCGGCGGUGGCUGUUCAGCCCUCAAGCGUAGUAGAAUACACCUCGCUUUGGAGCGGUUGGCGUCGCCCGCCGGACGAACCUUCUGAACUUUUCUCAAGGUUGACCUCGGAUCAGGUAGGGAUACCCGCUGAACUUAAGCAUAUCAAUAAGCGGAGGAA